Molecule: ribosomal RNA, 600 nt
Filed under: Salmonella enterica
Lineage: Bacteria; Pseudomonadati; Pseudomonadota; Gammaproteobacteria; Enterobacterales; Enterobacteriaceae
Description: partial 23S ribosomal RNA
Rfam family: Bacterial large subunit ribosomal RNA
Source: RNAcentral
GUGGACGCCAGUCUGCAUGGAGCCGACCUUGAAAUACCACCCUUUAAUGUUUGAUGUUCUAACGUGGACCCGUGAUCCGGGUUGCGGACAGUGUCUGGUGGGUAGUUUGACUGGGGCGGUCUCCUCCUAAAGAGUAACGGAGGAGCACGAAGGUUGGCUAAUCCUGGUCGGACAUCAGGAGGUUAGUGCAAUGGCAUAAGCCAGCUUGACUGCGAGCGUGACGGCGCGAGCAGGUGCGAAAGCAGGUCAUAGUGAUCCGGUGGUUCUGAAUGGAAGGGCCAUCGCUCAACGGAUAAAAGGUACUCCGGGGAUAACAGGCUGAUACCGCCCAAGAGUUCAUAUCGACGGCGGUGUUUGGCACCUCGAUGUCGGCUCAUCACAUCCUGGGGCUGAAGUAGGUCCCAAGGGUAUGGCUGUUCGCCAUUUAAAGUGGUACGCGAGCUGGGUUUAGAACGUCGUGAGACAGUUCGGUCCCUAUCUGCCGUGGGCGCUGGAGAACUGAGGGGGGCUGCUCCUAGUACGAGAGGACCGGAGUGGACGCAUCACUGGUGUUCGGGUUGUCAUGCCAAUGGCACUGCCCGGUAGCUAAAUGCGGAAGAG